ACUGGUGGAGCGCUUAGAAGUGAGAAUGCCGGUAUGAGUAGCGAAAGAAGGGUGAGAAUCCCUUCCACCGAAUAUCUAAGGUUUCCUGAGGAAGGCUCGUCCGCUCAGGGUUAGUCGGGACCUAAGCCGAGGCCGAUAGGCGUAGGCGAUGGACAACAGGUAGAGAUUCCUGUACCAGUGCUAAUUGUUUAACCGAUGGGGUGACACAGAAGGAUAGGGAAUCGCACGAAUGGAAAUGUGCGUCCAAGCAGUGAGUGUGAGAAGUAGGCAAAUCCGCUUCUCGCGAAGCAUGAGCUGUGAUGGGGAAGGAAAUUAAGUACGGAAGUUCCUGAUUUCACGCUGUCAAGAAAAGCCUCUAGGAAGAGUAGUACUGCCCGUA
Molecule: ribosomal RNA, 379 nt
Filed under: Listeria monocytogenes
Lineage: Bacteria; Bacillati; Bacillota; Bacilli; Caryophanales; Listeriaceae
Description: bacterial LSU rRNA
Rfam family: Bacterial large subunit ribosomal RNA
Source: RNAcentral